This 253-nucleotide ribosomal RNA is filed under the name uncultured bacterium. RNAcentral describes it as "partial 16S ribosomal RNA". It matches the Rfam family "Bacterial small subunit ribosomal RNA", at positions 524 to 776 of the family's 1533-position model. The record is from RNAcentral.
UACGUAGGGUGCGAGCGUUGUCCGGAAUUACUGGGCGUAAAGCGCUCGUAGGUGGUUUGUCGCGUUGUUCGUGAAAACCGGGGGCUUAACCCUCGGCGUGCGGGCGAUACGGGCAGACUGGAGUACUGCAGGGGAGACUGGAAUUCCUGGUGUAGCGGUGGAAUGCGCAGAUAUCAGGAGGAACACCGGUGGCGAAGGCGGGUCUCUGGGCCGAUACUGACGCUGAGAAGCGAAAGCGUGGGGAGCGAACAGG